UACUUUCUCAAUCGUUUGAUAAAGUCUC
Molecule: non-coding RNA, 28 nt
Filed under: Rattus norvegicus (Norway rat)
Lineage: Eukaryota; Metazoa; Chordata; Mammalia; Rodentia; Muridae
Source: RNAcentral